Molecule: ribosomal RNA, 406 nt
Filed under: uncultured bacterium
Lineage: Bacteria
Description: partial 16S ribosomal RNA
Rfam family: Bacterial small subunit ribosomal RNA
Source: RNAcentral
AUUGAACGCUGGCGGCAGGCUUAACACAUGCAAGUCGAACGAGCGGCGGACGGGUGAGUAAUGCCUGGGAAACUGCCUGAUGGAGGGGGAUAACUACUGGAAACGGUAGCUAAUACCGCAUACCAUAAGAUGAGCCCAGGUGGGAUUAGGUAGUUGGUGGGGUAAUGGCUCACCAAGGCGACGAUCUCUAGCUGGUCUGAGAGGAUGACCAGCCACACUGGGACUGAGACACGGCCCAGACUCCUACGGGAGGCAGCAGUGGGGAAUAUUGCGCAAUGGGGGCAAACCUGAUGCAGCCAUGCCGCGUGAAUGAAGAAGGCCUUCGGGUUGUAAAGUUCUUUCGGUGGCGAGGCGUUAACCACAGAAGAAGCACCGGCUAACUCCGUGCCAGCAGCCGCGGUAAUAC